RNAcentral lists this ribosomal RNA (487 nucleotides) under Cronobacter turicensis. RNAcentral's name for it is "bacterial SSU rRNA". It matches the Rfam family "Bacterial small subunit ribosomal RNA", at positions 30 to 504 of the family's 1533-position model. Lineage: Bacteria; Pseudomonadati; Pseudomonadota; Gammaproteobacteria; Enterobacterales; Enterobacteriaceae. The record is from RNAcentral.
AUUGAACGCUGGCGGCAGGCCUAACACAUGCAAGUCGAACGGUAACAGAGAGCAGCUUGCUGCUCUGCUGACGAGUGGCGGACGGGUGAGUAAUGUCUGGGAAACUGCCUGAUGGAGGGGGAUAACUACUGGAAACGGUAGCUAAUACCGCAUAACGUCUUCGGACCAAAGUGGGGGACCUUCGGGCCUCAUGCCAUCAGAUGUGCCCAGAUGGGAUUAGCUAGUAGGUGGGGUAAAGGCUCACCUAGGCGACGAUCCCUAGCUGGUCUGAGAGGAUGACCAGCCACACUGGAACUGAGACACGGUCCAGACUCCUACGGGAGGCAGCAGUGGGGAAUAUUGCACAAUGGGCGCAAGCCUGAUGCAGCCAUGCCGCGUGUAUGAAGAAGGCCUUCGGGUUGUAAAGUACUUUCAGCGAGGAGGAAGGGRUUGUGGUUAAUAACCGCAGUCAUUGACGUUACUCGCAGAAGAAGCACCGGCUAACUCC